GUAAACAGGUGUCGUAUCCCUAUAAGAUAAAACACGAUUGUGUAAACAGGUGUCGUAUCCCUAUAAGAUAAAACACGAUUGUGUAAACAGGUGUCGUAUCCCUAUAAGAUAAAACACGAUUGUAUAAACAGGUGUCGUAUCCCUAUAUAGAUAAAUCAAAUUUGAACUAUUCUACAUAUUACAAAGGAGGAAACAUGUAGGCUAGGGAUACCUGAUGAGGAUAGGCCUAGGUCUACAUGACCGUAACCGACACACCUUUUUUUUAAUAUACACACCAUUAUCAAACUACAAACAUGCAAUUGUGAAUUUCUAGAAAAAUAUGGAAAUAAAUGCAGAAGAAUGUAUUCCAUAAGCAGAAAUAUUUAUCAUACACUGAGUUUACCAGCU
RNAcentral lists this long non-coding RNA (387 nucleotides) under Mytilus galloprovincialis (Mediterranean mussel). The record is from RNAcentral. Lineage: Eukaryota; Metazoa; Mollusca; Bivalvia; Mytilida; Mytilidae.